RNAcentral lists this transfer RNA (72 nucleotides) under Stegodyphus mimosarum. It matches the Rfam family "tRNA". From Rfam's summary of the family: Transfer RNA (tRNA) molecules are approximately 80 nucleotides in length. Their secondary structure includes four short double-helical elements and three loops (D, anti-codon, and T loops). Lineage: Eukaryota; Metazoa; Arthropoda; Arachnida; Araneae; Eresidae. The record is from Rfam by way of RNAcentral.
ACCUUCGUGGUGUAGUGGUGAGCAGGCUCGACCGUAACCGAGAGGUCCUUGGUUAGAUUCCCGGCGAGGGUA